Long non-coding RNA from Amphiprion ocellaris (clown anemonefish), 1151 nucleotides. Lineage: Eukaryota; Metazoa; Chordata; Actinopteri; Pomacentridae. The record is from Ensembl.
GGAAAGAGGAGGAGGGAGGAGGAAGCCUGUGAGAAUAAACUGCUGGUUUACAGGAAUCAGGGAGAGCAGCUCCAUUGUUUUGCUUCUUACUUUGACUUUCACUCUCUGGUCUCACAAUGCAGUGUGUUAUCAGGACUAUAUAAGACGUGAGUCAAAGUACUGCAGACAUCAGAAGAGACUCGACUUCAACCAAGAACCAACAUGUCCUGCAGCAAAUCUCAGCAUGACACACACCAUACCAUCAAACAUCAGUGAUUGCUAGAACCUUCAUCAUUAUGUGUUCUAUUCAUGUGUUUUAACUCUAGUCUUCAGUCCAAUAGCAUUUGCCACAAUUACAUCAUCUUUUACUGUUAGCACAUCGUACCCAAAAAAUAUUACAUGACACAAUCCAACAGAACAACUUUGAAACCUCUCGAAUCCUUAUAUAAAGCCAUAAAAAUUCUGGUUAAGACACAACAGUAAAUGACAGCAACCACCGUCGUAUAUUGGAUCAGCAUGGGAUGCUAAAUUUUGAAAACAUGAUUGUGUAUGCAAAUGUACGAUUGGUUUUCAAGGAUGUUCAUGGUUAUGUGCCAUCACCUCUCAAGUUCUUUAUUCAUUGCACUUAUGGAAGUACUACCAGGACAACAAGGACUUCCUCUAGCUGGCAGUGUGGCAUCCCUUUAUGUAAAACUGCCUUUGGACAAUCAGCUUUUCCCUACAAAGCAAUAACGGAAUGGAAUAAGCUCCCCUCUGAACUAAAGACUUGAACAGAUUUAAAGACUUUUGGGCAGAGACAAAAAAAAUGGAACCCGUCAGCACUGAGUCCUUGCAUGUUUGUUUUUUUUAUCUUUAGAUGUUUUUAAAUGUGAUGUACAUUUUUUCUGCCUUUUCUGGUUUCUCUCUUGCCUGCUUCAAACACUGUAAAUUAGAGAGUACGUUAUAAUCAGGUACAGAACAUCUUUACCUUGUGUUUAAUGUUCUUUGAUCAUUAAUAAAGUUACUGGAGAUACAGAACCAGAUGGUUCUGAGGAGGUUUUAGGGGGAACUGAUUGAUUUUUAUUUGAAAGCUGCAGACAACGUUCACGCUGCUCCUGAUAUCUUGAAUUAAACGUGAUUCAUUAAAAAGUACUGUGUGUGUGUUCUGGUACGUUAUUAAAAUAAACAUAACA